RNAcentral lists this transfer RNA (74 nucleotides) under Nakamurella sp. UYEF19. Its description in RNAcentral is "tRNA-Pro". It matches the Rfam family "tRNA". Rfam says of the family: Transfer RNA (tRNA) molecules are approximately 80 nucleotides in length. Their secondary structure includes four short double-helical elements and three loops (D, anti-codon, and T loops). Further hydrogen bonds mediate the characteristic L-shaped molecular structure. tRNAs have two regions of fundamental functional importance: the anti-codon, which is responsible for specific mRNA codon recognition, and the 3' end, to which the tRNAs corresponding amino acid is attached (by aminoacyl-tRNA synthetases). tRNAs cope with the degeneracy of the genetic code in two manners: having more than one tRNA (with a specific anti-codon) for a particular amino acid; and 'wobble' base-pairing, i.e. permitting non-standard base-pairing at the 3rd anti-codon position. Lineage: Bacteria; Bacillati; Actinomycetota; Actinomycetes; Nakamurellales; Nakamurellaceae. RNAcentral also lists the same sequence under 3 other names. The record is from RNAcentral.
CGGGCUGUAGCGCAGCUUGGUAGCGCGCCGCGUUUGGGACGCGGAUGUCGCAGGUUCAAAUCCUGUCAGCCCGA